RNAcentral lists this transfer RNA (72 nucleotides) under Anneissia japonica. RNAcentral's name for it is "tRNA-Thr". It matches the Rfam family "tRNA". From Rfam's summary of the family: Transfer RNA (tRNA) molecules are approximately 80 nucleotides in length. Lineage: Eukaryota; Metazoa; Echinodermata; Crinoidea; Comatulida; Comatulidae. The record is from RNAcentral.
UGCUCGAUGGUCUAGUGGUAUGAUGCCAGGUUAGUGUUCUGGAGAUCGUGGGUUCGAGUCCCACACGAGAAA